RNAcentral lists this ribosomal RNA (254 nucleotides) under uncultured bacterium. Its description in RNAcentral is "partial 16S ribosomal RNA". It matches the Rfam family "Bacterial small subunit ribosomal RNA", at positions 524 to 776 of the family's 1533-position model. The record is from RNAcentral.
UACGGAGGAUCCAAGCGUUAUCCGGAAUUACUGGGCGUAAAGAGUUGCGUAGGUGGCAUAGCAAGCAGAUAGUGAAAGGCUACGGCUCAACCGUAGAUACAUUAUCUGAACUUCUAAGCUUGAGCAUAAGAGAGGUACCUGGAAUUCCCAGUGUAGGAGUGAAAUCCGUAGAUAUUGGGAGGAACACCGAUGGCGUAGGCAGGGUACUGGCUUAUUGCUGACACUAAGGCACGAAAGCGUGGGGAGCGAACGGG